UACACACAUAGAAAACAGAAGGAACACGUGACCGCCCAUUGAAGAAUCUAAAGUUUGGAUUAUACACCUAUAUAUGUACAAAGGUACUGUAAAAUGUCAGAAUACCCGUAAAAUUCAUAUUUUAUGAGCGAUAUCAAAGCGCAAUGUUUAUUCGGGUUUGAAAUAAUACUGCAAACAAAAAAUACAGUUAGGUGUAUAUACCUACCGACCUACAGACGUUAUU
Molecule: non-coding RNA, 223 nt
Organism: Cinara cedri
Lineage: Eukaryota; Metazoa; Arthropoda; Insecta; Hemiptera; Aphididae
Source: the annotation of a GenBank genome assembly